GGAAUAUUGGACAAUGGGCGAAAGCCUGAUCCAGCAAUGCCGCGUGUGUGAAGAAGGCCUGCGGGUUGUAAAGCCCUUUCAGUAGAGAAGACAAGCCUGCGGUUAAUAACCGCGAGUCUUGACGUAACCUCCAGAAGAAGCACCGGCUAACUCCGUGCCAGCAGCCGCGGUAAUACGGAGGGUGCAAGCGUUAAUCGGAAUUACUGGGCGUAAAGCGCGCGUAGGCGGUUUGGUAAGUCGGGUGUGCAAGCCCCGGGCUUAACCUGGGAAUUGCAGUGGAUACUGCCUGACUAGAGUAUGGUAGAGGGAAGUGGAAUUUCCGGUGUAGCGGUGAAAUGCGUAGAUAUCGGAAGGAACACCAGUGGCGAAGGCGACUUCCUGGGCCAAUACUGACGCUGAGGUGCGAAAGCGUGGGGAGCAAAC
Molecule: ribosomal RNA, 423 nt
Filed under: uncultured bacterium
Lineage: Bacteria
Description: bacterial SSU rRNA
Rfam family: Bacterial small subunit ribosomal RNA
Source: RNAcentral